UACGUAGGGUGCAAGCGUUAAUCGGAAUUACUGGGCGUAAAGCGUGCGCAGGCGGUGAUGUAAGACAGGUGUGAAAUCCCCGGGCUUAACCUGGGAACUGCAUUUGUGACUGCAUCGCUGGAGUGCGGCAGAGGGGGAUGGAAUUCCGCGUGUAGCAGUGAAAUGCGUAGAUAUGCGGAGGAACACCGAUGGCGAAGGCAAUCCCCUGGGCCUGCACUGACGCUCAUGCACGAAAGCGUGGGGAGCGAACGGG
This 253-nucleotide ribosomal RNA is filed under the name uncultured bacterium. RNAcentral's name for it is "partial 16S ribosomal RNA". It matches the Rfam family "Bacterial small subunit ribosomal RNA", at positions 524 to 776 of the family's 1533-position model. The record is from RNAcentral.